This 400-nucleotide long non-coding RNA is filed under the name Anas platyrhynchos platyrhynchos (common mallard). Its description in RNAcentral is "lncRNA (ENSAPLG00000023950.1)". The record is from RNAcentral. Lineage: Eukaryota; Metazoa; Chordata; Aves; Anseriformes; Anatidae.
GAACUUUUUAGCACACAGGACACAGUAGACAAGAAAGCAAAUAAACCUACUGCUCAUCUCUGCAAGGUCUGGACAGUUGUGAAGCUCCACUCACUGUCAGGUUCCAUCAAACCCAACCAAUGUUUAUGAAGAGAAAUGUCAUAUUAUACAUACAAACUGUUUUUUGUUUGUUUGUUUGUUUGUUUGUUUGUUUUUUUCCAGUGACUCAAAGACCACACAAUAUAAACCCAUUGAUCGAGUUCUCAAUUUAUCUUAAGUGCACACCAGUAUAAUCCACUUAGUUCAACCUGGGCAGACGUAGCCAAGAUAUCACUUAUUUAAGGAGCAAAGGAAGAUUUGAGUCUAAGGUCUCCUUGUGCAGUUAUGCACCAUCUCACACCUAGGGUACGGCAGAGGAGUU